This 29-nucleotide non-coding RNA is filed under the name Gallus gallus (chicken). RNAcentral also lists the same sequence under 5 other names. Lineage: Eukaryota; Metazoa; Chordata; Aves; Galliformes; Phasianidae. The record is from RNAcentral.
CGUACGUAGCAGAGCAGCUCCCUCGCUGC